RNAcentral lists this ribosomal RNA (465 nucleotides) under Vreelandella stevensii. Its description in RNAcentral is "partial 16S ribosomal RNA". It matches the Rfam family "Bacterial small subunit ribosomal RNA", at positions 338 to 795 of the family's 1533-position model. The record is from RNAcentral. Lineage: Bacteria; Pseudomonadati; Pseudomonadota; Gammaproteobacteria; Oceanospirillales; Halomonadaceae.
CCUACGGGAGGCAGCAGUGGGGAAUAUUGGACAAUGGGCGAAAGCCUGAUCCAGCCAUGCCGCGUGUGUGAAGAAGGCCUUCGGGUUGUAAAGCACUUUCAGUGGGGAAGAAAGCCUUGGGGCUAAUACCCUCGAGGAAGGACAUCACCCACAGAAGAAGCACCGGCUAACUCCGUGCCAGCAGCCGCGGUAAUACGGAGGGUGCGAGCGUUAAUCGGAAUUGCUGGGCGUAAAGCGCGCGUAGGCGGUCUGAUAAGCCGGUUGUGAAAGCCCCGGGCUCAACCUGGGAACGGCAUCCGGAACUGGCGGGCUAGAGGGCGGGAGAGGAAGGUAGAAUUCCCGGUGUAGCGGGGAAAUGCGGAGAGAUCGGGAGGAAUACCAGUGGCGAAGGCGGUCUUCUGGACUGAUCCUGCCGCUGAGGUGCGAAAGCGUGGGUAGCAAACAGGAUUAGAUACCCUGGUAGUC